AUGACCAAUACUCACAAAACACACCCGCUAAUAAAAAUUAUUAAUUACUCAUUCAUUGAUUUUCCCACACCAUCUAACAUUUCUACAUGAUGAAACUUUGUUUCACUUCUUGAUGCCUACCUAACCCUCCAGAUCAUUACAGGACUAUUUUUGGCCAUGCACUACACAUCAGACACCUCAACCGCCUUCUCUUCAGUCGCUCACAUCUGCUGAGAUGAAAACUACGGCUGAAUGAUCUGCUAUUUUCAUGCUAAUGGCACUUCAAUAUUUUUCAUCUGCCUCUUACUCCAUGUUGGCUGGAGCUUAUACUAUAUAUCAUUUACAUUUCUAGAAACCUGUAAUAUCAGCAUUAUCCUCUUACUCACAACUAUGGCAACAGCAUUCAUAGGCUACCUGCUCCCAUGAGGCCAGAUAUCAUUCUGAGGUGCCACAGUAAUUACAAAUCUACUAUCGGCCAUCCCAUGUAUCGGAACUGACUUUGUGCAAUGAAUCUGAGGUGCAUUCUCAGUUGACAAAGCUACCCUUACACGAUUUUUCACUUUCCAUUUUCUCUUACUCUUCAUCAUUACAGCUCUAGCAGCUGUUCACCUUUCAUGCCUUCGUGAAACAGGAUCUAAUAACCCUUCCGGGGUUUCAUCCAACUCCAACAAAAUUACCAUCCACCCCUAGCAUACAACCAAAGAUAUUUUAGGUUUAAUUAUUCUCCUCCUCCUUCUAAUAACUCUAGUACUGUUUUCGCCUGACCUCCUGGGCGACCGAGAUAACUAUGCUUUAGCCAAUCCUCUAAACACCUCACUCCACAUUAAGCCAGAGUGGUACUUUUUGUUUGCCUACACAAUCAUAUGCUCCAUCCCUAAUAAACUAGGAGACAUACUGGCCCUUGUAUGCUCCAUUCUCAUUCUAGCAGUUAUUCCUGUACUUUACGUGUCUAAACAGCAAAGUGUAAUAUUCUGACCGUUGAGUCAACAUCUAUUCUGAAUUUUAGUGGCUGACCUAUUUACACUCACAUGAGUUGGAGGGCAGCCAGUCAAAUACCCUUUUAUUGCCAUCAGGUAGACAGCAUCUAUUAUGUACUUUUCUACCAUCCUCACUCUUAUACCACUCACUGGCCUAAUUGAAAAUAAACUACUUAAA
This 1134-nucleotide long non-coding RNA is filed under the name Homo sapiens (human). RNAcentral describes it as "non-protein coding lnc-DNAH6-13:1". Lineage: Eukaryota; Metazoa; Chordata; Mammalia; Primates; Hominidae. The record is from RNAcentral.